This is a non-coding RNA of Zonotrichia albicollis (white-throated sparrow), 6966 nucleotides long. The record is from RefSeq and is a predicted model, not a curated record. Lineage: Eukaryota; Metazoa; Chordata; Aves; Passeriformes; Passerellidae.
GGAUUGCAGCGGAUUUGUGGGGAGAGCAAUCCCAGGGGGUCUGGCUUUCUUGGGACGGAGGUGAGAAAUGCACAGUUCUCCUUUGGGAAUUCGGCGCCCGGCUGGCCGUUCCCCCAGCAGGGGAGAGAGCAGAGGCAGCAGUCCUGUAUUCUGGUACCCGAGAGGAAACCCCAGUCAGCCCCGGAUCCACAAAAUACGUGUUUGUUCCGCACAAAGGUGCCUAGCAGUGUGCGAAAUCAAUGUUAGAGAAAAAAGUAAAUGCACUUUAUAUUUCACUGAUUUCACCCUAGCAACGCUAUGUAUGAUUAAAAUGUUUUAAUGUUUAAUGACCCAAUACAAUGUAUUUAGGGUCAAGUUUUGUGCCCCUGACGUCAGGACACAUAGGAACAAGAUCUGAUCCACUGUAUUUUCCUCAUAGUUUAAGUUAAAAAAAUCUAGGACUAAGUGUUCAGCAUCAGUAAUCUGGCCUUCCUCUUCUGAUUCCUCUGGAUGUGCUAUGUGCUAAUUUACCUGAGCUGAUCAACCAGUUCUAAGUUUUAAACACAGAAGGCAAUGCUCUAAUUUUUUCCUAGUAUGGAUGGCAGGAGCUGUUCAAAGUGAAAAAUAAACAUCACUAAAUAAUCACCAAUGCUUAAAUAGCAUUCUUAAGAGUAAACAGGAAAUAUUUCUAGUCUUAUAAGGACCAAAUUCUCACUGCUUCCUUUAAUUUUUCACUUCUCUGUGAAAUGCUGAUAUUCUUGUUAUUCAGAAGGUUUCAUUUAUUUUGCCUUUUACAAAACAUGCUAACAUUGUACCUUUCCCAACGACCUAAAUGACCUAAAGCAGAUGACCUAAAUUUAGAAAAAAAAAUUGAAGGUUAAAAAACAAGUUGUUGUUUUUUUCCUGGAAAAUCCUUCAGAGAGCAGUGAUUGGCCACGCACCUGCUGCAGCAGAGAGUUGCUACAUGCAGGCAGGUUUAGUUUCAACCAGAGUCAAAGGUGGUUUGUAACUGAAGCAGGAGCAAGCAGCUUCCACUGCUCGUGUCACGACUGAACUCACGUCAAUGUCACACAGGAACAGCUGCUAAUCAAAACGACAUCACUGACACUGACAUAGUCAUUGUCAGUAAAAUGUGGAACUGAGCUCCCAGGAAAAAUCCUAGCACUGUGUAAGUCAAUCAGAAAGUUCAGUAGGAAUCUGUGGCUCCAGUUUGCUUUGCGAAGAAACAGUCCUGCCAUUAUUCUGCUGUUUGAUAAGCCUAUUGAGCCAAGAUAGGCUUACUCUAGUGAUGAAUUACCUAUGUUAACAUUAAUGUGGUUUAGAAACUACUUUUUGUAAAUAACAAGCUUCUCCAUCCUGUAUCUUACAGAGCAAAUUUAUCCCAGGAAACUGUAGAAGGAGACCUCAGGGGUGUGUGAGGAUACACGGUGUUACAAAUGAGAUCUGUGGGAUUUGGGUUCUUUCAGAGUCUGUGGGCACACCUGGGGUUCCUACAAUCAAGUAUCUAAAUCUUCCCCUCCUGUUUCCCGGAGGAACCCAAGGAAUGCAAGGCCCUAAGUAGAACUGUGUGUAACACUGUUGGCACAUACAGAGCUACAAACUGGCUACGGUAACUUCCAGCUCUGUUUCACCUCCCCACAAGCAAUAACAUAACUUGUGCUCCUCUUCCAUUCCCGCUUUUUCUAUUUUUUACUGCUCACAGCUAGAAUUAAUUCCCUCAAAGCAGCUGGUCUGUGUUUUCUCUAAAUCACUAAAGGAAAAUAUCCACAAAUAAUACACAUGAAUAAAACCGCUUCCCUUCAGUUUUAUUCCUGGAUUUUCUUUUUCAUUACAUAUUUUUCUGUUUCUCUAUGCUAGAAUCCGAAUUUCCUUUCCUGCAGCUUCUCUGUCCAAGUUUGUUCUUCAUUCUCUCCUUCUACUGACCAGACUUCUGCAGUUGGAAAUAUACUGUCCAGCUGUUUAUUCCAAAAGUGCUUAAUCCCUGCUGCACCUGCUACAGCUUUUAGCAUUAAAAUUAAUUUCUUAACAAGAGAGGAACAUGCCAGAGGAGAGUGGAACCCUUCAAACCACAGAGUACAUUCAUACUUGAUCCCGUUACAGCAAUAGAAAUGCAAUGGUUGUUGGAAACUGCCUGACUGAAAACAUGCUGAAAUAGCAUCACAUGGUAUUUGAGGUAGGAAUUAAAUAUUUAACAUAUAUCUUUACUGCAAAAGAAACAUGAAAGAAAACUGAACUGUGCUCUGAUAUUAUAAACAGAAAAUGACAGGGAAACAAUUCAAAUCUAAACCCAUCACCUCCCUAGUAAUGAAAACCUAACCAAAUUAUAAAGUAGCUCUCCCAAGCUCAUUGCCACAGUUGUUGCUCAAUUAGAAGGUAUGUGUACUAGAAUAGGAAACCUUCAGACACAGUUUUAGAUUAGGUAACUCUGUUUUUCCUGAUGGAUUAUAAAAAAAAUUAUAAAUAUUUCCACUUUCCAUCACUUGAAAUUAAAGAGAAUAAGAAAUUUCCAUUAACUUUCAACUAGCUCAACUACUAAAGCCAUUUUCUCUCUGGACUCUCUUUUCCUUCUUAAACAUUCUCUGAUGCUGGACUGAUUUUCACAAAUUGUUUUGUUCUGUUGUCAUCCUAAGCACUCACCUUUUUGCCAGUAACUUGGAGAAUAAAGCUGUGCCUCCUAGUGCUACUGAAAUGAACACUAAAGUAACUGGUUUUCCUUAACCACCAGAACUUUUAGACAAAUCCUUGCCCUCUGGUGGUGGGAAUGCUUCUCCUGGUUAACCCUGCUCUAACAUGACUAAUUCUGUGACACUUCCUUAGUUUCAACAGUAUUUUCUUAAUUUUGCAGAACUGCCUCUGUGGAGGAAAUACUCCACAAGAACAGGUUUCAGAAUGCUAUCUUUGAACUCCAAUUACUCUGAAUUUUCUCUCAUAGGUUUAGGUCUAGUGUAGGCAGUGGAGCUCCACCUGUGUGUUUCCUGCAGCCACACUGAUUUUUCAUUCCAUUUGGCUUCAUUGUUUGACCUGGCAACAUCCCCUGCAGUACCUCAGAGAUUUUCAUCCCAAAUCUGGAUACAUCCCCCAAAUCUGCUGUCUCAGCAUGGCAGUGGGUCUCUCCUCACUACCUGCUGUGUGGCACCAUUCUCUAGAAAUGGUCAAAUAAGUGAGAGCAGAACAUUUGAAAACUUCCAAACUUUGUGACUUCAGAAACUGAUAUCCUGCACCAGUCACGAGUAUUUCAUUUCUCCCUUCUCUAAGGUUGAAAAAUUGCCAGGGGCACUUUUCCUCCCCACCCAAGUACAGCCUACAAAAAGCCAAACACACACACUGGCAUUGACAAACUGAAGAUUUGAUUCAAUGCUUGGCUAAAUAUGUGGGAAUUAUAAAACUACAGAACCUGUUGUCAGGAGCAAAGGAUUACAGCUCAUUGUCUACUGAAACAACUUGCAUUAAACAGUGUUAAGUUUCUUUGAAGGCAGAUAUCAAAACAUUGUUUCAGAACUUUUUUUUUUUGCAAGUUGCAUAUUUUUAGUAUUCAGAAAUGCUACAUAAAUAUUGGCCAGGUAAUUUAAAUUACUACUAUAAAAAACAUUUUUAUUAGAAAUACUUACUUACUGAUACAAUUUACUUUGGUUUCCUAGAUAAAGUAACAAAAUCAGGUGCUUUAAACCAAAAUGGUGCCUUCAGGAAAAAGAGUACUAAACUAAAAAAGUCAGGUAACAACUUACCUAAAAAUGUUACUCAAUUUAGAAAUACAAAUGUUGCUCUGAUUUAUAUAAGCAUCCCCGACUGAGGGAAAACACAGGACUGCAGAACUAUUGAGAUGCCCCUUAAAGGGGAGCCCUGAAGCAUGUUCAAAACUCAAUGAAAUUCUGAUCUCAUUGCAAUUAAAUGUAAAAUUCCUCCAACAUCAAUAAAAUCAAGAUUUCUUCUGAUAAAGAACAUUGGUAUAAGAACAAGUGAGCACAACUGGCAAUUAACAGUUCCAGAGGUAAAAAAUAAAUUUUAAUUUCCAUAUCAGAAAAGUGAGGUUCUGUAAGUGUUCCCAGCUGGAGCAACAGGAGCAACAGAUUCAAUGUGUCCAAAAUUAACAUGUUUGAUUAUAAACCUGUAAGUUCAAGAGCACAGUCCCCAGCACAGCUGCCACAGACUGGCAGAACCAUUACACUUAUUACACAGAAAUAGCCAGGGAUGGUGGUGUUUACCUUCUCCCUAAGGGUACCCUUUUCCCAAGGAACAGCAGCCCAGUCUUUAUGUGCACCACGAAGAGCUGCAUUGCAGGGUGCCUGUGAUUCAGGAAUCACCAAGUGCCUUCAAUAACGCUCUGAUUCUGUCACACAGAGCAGCUGUUCCCACUCUGCAGCCUCAAACUACAGCAGGGGCUAUUUACUGACCAACUGGUGAGCCCUGGAUCUUUAGUUUCUGAGGCAAGCUGAAAAGGGAAAAAUGCAAAACUAGUGCAAUUACAUCUGGGGAAUUGAUUUAGAAAGAAAAAACCCGUGUGUCCUUGUUGAGAAGUGUUUGCUUCUCAACACUACAUGCAUCUCUCAAUAUUAAACUUCAAAGCUCUGAUGUAACAGAACCCAAAUAGUUCAGAGCCUCUUUAAAGUUACCACAGCACUCAGUAAAGUUAAGGACAAGGAAAAGUAGGGCUCUUCUUAUGUUUGUGUACUGCAUCAUCCCCUCCCUCUGCCCUGCAAAACACAAUGACAACACAUCUUUUGAUGUUUUGAAUUCUUCAUGGCUUUGUAUAGCAGCAUAACACCAGAGCACCUCAUUUAAAUUUUUGAUUUAUCAUAUAACCCAAGAGAUUGUUAUAAGAAGUAAAAAAAUAAUUGUCAUAAACCAGUAAAAGUUUUAACUUUUCACCAGCAACUUCAAACUUCAAAGUAUAUAAAUCAUCCCACUGGCACAGCUGUAGAUCCUGAAAUACAUGUUGAGUGUCAGAAAUUAAGGCACAGAUAUCACAUAAAAUGCUUUUUUGACCUUUAGAAAUGUGAAAAUUGGACAUUUUCUUACAAAAACUCCUGUUUCAGUCAACACCUCUAUAAGAACCCAGUCCUUUCUUUCCAUGUCCCCAAAUUGUCUUUUCAUUUGGUCUUAAUACAUUCCAUUUGUGUGCCACACAGUAAACUGAUUUAUCUUGCAUCACUCAUCUUUUACCAGCACAGUAUUCCACUUCUCCUAGGACUUAUGCCAGCAUUCCAAACUAUAAAGCCACAGGAAGGAGAUCUUAAUUGUUUUUAAAGGUAAACUGACUGAAAUUUUCUUCUCCAUUUCAACAUACCUAAAUACGUAUAUAAAAGCAGUAGGUAACUUGGGCUGUAAAAAAUCCUCCUUCACUAUUGUCCUUUUAAAAUAGGUAAAGAGCAAUAACCUCAUCUGGAAACUAAAAAUAGCAUGAGUAAUUUUACAAUCUUUUCACAUUUUGCUCUUAUUCCCCUGGAAUAUAGUGACCUUAUUGGCUUGGCUUAUGUAAGUGGUAAUAGAUUGCCGAGCUGGAAUUUUUCACUUAACACCAGCAAUUCUGUGCAUAUUUUCUGCUGGGCUGAUCUUUCUGCCCUCCUUUUUGCACUCCAGCCCUCCCUGGUGUGCCCCCUGAGCCAGGGGCAGCAGGAGCUCCCACUGCUCUGCAGCCACAGUUCCACACUGGGCAGAUGCAGGGCACUGAGUGCUGGAGACACCCAGGGUCACACAGACUUCUCCUGCUCACACCACCUAUAAAUCUCUUUCCACUGGGUUGCUACAGCCAGCACUCACUGUCACAGCACAGGACCUUUGGCUGCCAAGUGUCCUUCCCUAAAUCCAUCCUGUGGGCCAAAGGCAAAGGAAGUGUUGUGAGGACAGCACUAUCAAACAUGGAUCAGUGGCCAUCAGCCUGAUUCUCCCCCUCCUCUUAGUGAAGGCACUUUCAUUUACCCGCUGUCUUCCUGUACAACCAGGGCUCACAAUGGGACAAAGCAGGAAACACUUCUGAACAUCCAGCUUCUUGGUCCUACAUCCAGCUUCUUCCUUGCAGGCUCAGACAAGUCUGGAAUAGAUGCUCACUCCCUUUUUAAGAAAAUGAUUCCAAAAUAGCUGCAGUUCUCACACAUCUGUUGCCCUCUGGCAGACACGCUGAGUUUCUAUGACAUUUAACAGAAAUAUCAUGCAGGUACCUAAAUUAUUCCUAAGUGUCCUUCCAUGCAUUUGGAGUUACACUAAAACAGCUACAGAUGUUGCAAACAAGACAAACACUGAUUUCACUGAAUCCAAUACUUCUGUCAUGGGACUGUUUAAAUGAAAGAACAUGGACUAAACAGAAAAAGUACCAAAAAAAAAGGGAAAAAAAGAAAAAGCUUAUCUCAUAGCCUAUCAUGAAAUCAUGUUCUCCAAUUUCUUUAGGUUCAGGCCUUCAUGAUUCUAAUUUCCACCUAUUUCUCAUUUUGCAGCAGAGGCAUUUUUACAAGUUUUAAAAUCUUUCAGAGUGUGGUCCAACAAUAAAAACCAAUGUGCACGGCAAAUAAAAUUUGGAUGAAAACAGUGAGACCUCAGAGUCUGAAUCCCCAACAGUGUCAGGAUCAUCAUCACACCUGAUGUGUUCACAAGGUGAAGGACACAUCGAUCCAGAUGCAACCCAAAGGCUGAUGUAACAUAUGUUAAUUCAACUCAGCUUAUUACCAAUCUUCUCCAAACAAUCUCUGAGGAAGCACUCAUGAAAGCUGAUUCUGUACAGUCAGACUUUGUCACACAUUAUUAAACAUCACUAGAGAUGGUAUCCUGUGAUGCACAGCAAAACUUCUGAGCCAAAAGGCAAAAAUUCAGAUUAAGGACACUUCUUUUACAUCCAGGAAAAUGAGCAAACAUUAAACAUUGUGCAAAAGAAAAAGACUUUAUUUAAUACCAUAUAUGACUCGGAAGUUUCACGCACUGAAGACCAGAAAAACAAACUGUAUUUUGCCUUUCCAAAUACACCUAUAUUCAACAUGGAACUCAUUGAUUUUUAAGAUA